UUAAUUUGCUCACAAAUUUGCAUUUUGGCAGCGUUCAGCAGGGACAGGUUCUCUCUGCCCUAUUCUGCAUUAGUUGGACUGGCUCAAGGCUGAAGGCUAGAUAUGAAGCCUUACUCAUUGAAUCACGUAUCUGGAGAAUUAUGGCUAUUACCUGGUACCUCCACUGGACAGUGACUGGAACACCUUCAUGUGGUGGCUCUUCUGUGUAGCUGCUUGGCUUCCUCACGAUAUGGUGGCUGAGUUCUAAUAACAAAGGCAAAGUUCUGUUGCCUCUUAUGACUUAGCCUGGAAGUCAUAUGGUUUCACCACUUACUGCUGGAGCCAUAGGCCUAUGUCAAUUCAAAGGAAGGGGACUUGGCAUCUUAUAUUGUAAGAACAUGCGAGAUGGGAUACAUCUUGGUGCUAUAUAUUGGUGCUACCUGUGGAAGAUAUAAUCUGCCAGCAGGACCACAUAAUGACUUUCAUGAGACCUAGGGAUUUUUGCCUUGAUGGGCCCCUUUCUCCACUAAAAAAAGGAAGAAAAAUUACAAUUGCACUUAUAAAAGAGGCUUUUCUAUUGCUCGGCCAAAACUCUUUCUCUAAAGAGCUAGACUUGACAAUAGGACCACCUGGAUACGGCCAAGGAGAAGACAGAUCCAUGAUGUGGGAGUUUUUUUUUUUUUUUUUUUUUCACAAAAGCAACUUGCAUUAGAAACUUCCAGAUAAAUGCAGAAGAAUCUCCUAACCACUGAAAAGACAAACAAAGAACAUCCCUCCCUCUGAAUCGGGAGUGUGGAGAAUCAUGGGGCAGCCUACCAGUUGUUACUUGGCAGUGGACGUGAUACCGAGGAGAGAGCUGGUGACUCCCUUCCUCUGGCCGGCUUAUUUGCAACAGAUUAUUCAUCUGCUCUUUGGGAAGAGGAGUCCUGGACACAGGAGACUAAAAUGAACUCAUCAAAGAGGAAAACAAGUUUGCAGUGCAUUAUGUUAAAGCUCUCUCCACAGUAGGAAAGUCAUUGGGGAACAUAAGAGAAGUAGAUUUUGGCAACCAUUUCCUAAUUUUAUUGAAAGGAGAAAGCCAGGGAAAAUAAAAUCCUGGUUAAAGAAGGAGUUGUUUUCGUUUAUAGGUUCCUGGUGACUUCUCCAGUGGUUGUGGCAGGCAAGGCAGAAAAGCAAAUUUACAUUUCAGGAGUUUGUGAACUCAGCAUAUGAAUCAAGUUUCUUUGCACGUAAAACCUGAGGGUUUAGUUGUGUUCUAAUUUAGAGUUGAACAUCAGCCAAAUUAAGAGUGAAGAAUUCUGCAUCAGCAGGUUUACUGCUUAAUUUUGCUACCAGUUCUACUUAGCAACUUCAAGCAGAGUAAAGGAGGCAGCUAUAGUCUUUCAGGAAAUCAAGACAGGACAAUUGCACAGCAUUUGAACAUUAGAAUUUUGUUUUGUUUUUAGGACAAUAGCUCUAUAAAUUGAACGAUACUUGUAAAGUCCAAAAGUAAAUCGAAAUUUUAAGUUAUUCCCCAAACCAAUGCACACCUUUCAGAAUCUCAAGAGAAAUAUUCUAAAGCUGUAAUGACUUUGUAUUAUGUUUACCAUAAAAAUCUUCUGCAAGCCAAAUACUAAAGCAACGCAUGUCUGUUCAAAUUAGUGAGAAGUAAAAUUGUUAAAUAAAGCUGAAA
Molecule: long non-coding RNA, 1651 nt
Organism: Leopardus geoffroyi (Geoffroy's cat)
Lineage: Eukaryota; Metazoa; Chordata; Mammalia; Carnivora; Felidae
Exons: 5
Source: RefSeq, a predicted model, not a curated record